AUGGAUCCAGGCGGAGCAGCACCCGCCCUCCCGGAUGAUAUGCUUGUCGAGAUCCUCGUCCGCCUCCGCUGCUCCCGCGCCGCCGCGCGGACCGGCAUCCUCUCCCGCUCGUGGCGCGGCCUCUGGACCCGCCUCCCCGUCCAUGUCUUCCGCGGCGUCGCGCUCGGCUCCAUCCAAGCGGCGCUCGAUUCGAUCAAAGCCGAGGGCGGCCCCGGCGCGCUCCUCCUCGACAUCUCCGUUCCGGAGGCGUCCCUCUCCGAAACGGAGUUGAGCGAGCGCGUCCCCAAGCUGCUCGACGCCGCCGCGGCGCUCUUGCCAGUGGAGCUCCGCCUCGCCGUCUGGGAAAACACGCCAUUCAAGUACGUCAAAGUGGUCGUGCCCCGCCUCCCGCGCGCCGCCUCGGUGGAGCUGCAAGGGCUGGAUCUCGCCUUCGCCGACGAGCCAGGCAGCCGGCAGGGGUUCCCGGCGCUGGAGAGGCUCUCCCUCACGAGCUGCCGCGCCGUCCUCACGAACCUGCUCCCCCGCUGUCCGCGGCUGCGCGUGUUCAGGCUCAGGGAUGAUCUUCUUGUCUGUCAACACAAGAACAUCAUCAUCAGAUCCUCGUCGCUGCAGGAGCUGGAUGUGGAGAGCAAGGUCCCCUUCCUGCACCGCAUCGACAUCGAGGCACCUGCGCUCAAGCGACUGGCCAUGUCCUUCACCAGCAGCAACAACAUCAUUGUGUUGGUGUCCGUUUCGGCACCAAUGCUGGACAAGGUGUCAUGGCGCUGCAGCUAUUCCACGGUGUCUGCCGGGCUUGGUGUGUCCGUCGGCCUUGGCCCUUGGGGCCUCCUGUCUGUGAGAUUACACACAGCGGAGACCAAUGGGCAGCUUCAUCCACGUUCAUGUCUGUCGCUCUUCGCGGCCGCCCAUAGUUCAUACAGCUUUUCAGAGGGGCUCAACCUUACGACGGAGAUAGAGAGGCAUAUGGUUACCCUUUUCUCUGUCUUGGAGCUACACGUCCAAACGUGGGGGCAUGUUUUUGGAGCAUUUGCAUUGCACAUCCUUGAAAUGGAUCGGAUUUCCACUGCUAUACAAAGCCUUAAGGUCAUCCUGCUGAGAUCAGAGGAUAAUGAAGCAUGCCCACCAAACUGCGAUUGUGAGCUGCCCAAUAAUAACUGGAGAAGCCAGACUAUCUCCUUGACCAAUCUUGAAAAAGUGGAAAUCGAAGGCUUCCAAGGAGAAGGUCAUGAGUUCGAUUUCUUGAAACUGGUAUUUAGAUGCGCACAAGUGCUGAAAACAAUGUCUGUGAGGCUGUCAGAUGAGGUCACAGCAAGUAGCGACGAUUGCUGCAAGAAAAUACAUGACGUCUUCAAGAUGUAUCCUUUUGUGGAAUGCAAUGUGGAUCUUAGUUCGCCUGGGGUCAACAUGCAGCUGCCAUAG
This 1419-nucleotide ribosomal RNA is filed under the name Triticum aestivum (bread wheat). Its description in RNAcentral is "partial small subunit ribosomal RNA". Lineage: Eukaryota; Viridiplantae; Streptophyta; Magnoliopsida; Poales; Poaceae. The record is from RNAcentral.